AUUGAACGCUGGCGGCAGGCUUAACACAUGCAAGUCGAGCGGAGCGAGGGUGCUUGCACCUUAGCUUAGCGGCGGACGGGUGAGUAAUGCUUAGGAAUCUGCCUAUUAGUGGGGGACAACAUUCCGAAAGGGAUGCUAAUACCGCAUACGCCCUACGGGGGAAAGCAGGGGAUCUUCGGACCUUGCGCUAAUAGAUGAGCCUAAGUCGGAUUAGCUAGUUGGUGGGGUAAAGGCCUACCAAGGCGACGAUCUGUAGCGGGUCUGAGAGGAUGAUCCGCCACACUGGGACUGAGACACGGCCCAGACUCCUACGGGAGGCAGCAGUGGGGAAUAUUGGACAAUGGGGGGAA
Molecule: ribosomal RNA, 350 nt
Filed under: Acinetobacter sp. oral taxon C51
Lineage: Bacteria; Pseudomonadati; Pseudomonadota; Gammaproteobacteria; Moraxellales; Moraxellaceae
Description: bacterial SSU rRNA
Rfam family: Bacterial small subunit ribosomal RNA
Source: RNAcentral